UCUUCUUUCCUCAGUCCUUAGUGAAUGGUAGAGAUUCAUGAGAAGUCAAAGGAAUGGUAUUGUCCUCACAUUUGACUGUGGCAGAGACGCUGGAUCAUGUUGCAAGCGUCAUAAUGCUAAAAGAAGAAUGCUAAAAGAAGAAAAGGACAAACCUUGACUGUUUCUUUCUUGUUGAACAUUUUAGUUUUAUCUUCCUUCACAAGUACAGCAUAUUGAAAGCAGAGAUAAUUUCCCAGAAAAAUACCAGUUCCUGAUGGUAUUUACAGAACAUCUAUAAUUUUUAGAGAUUUAGUUCCAUGUGGACCCAUGGCAAGAGCACUGCUGAUCUUAGCUCUGCACUGCCGUUUACAUCGAUGCCAUGUAUCUUAACUCAGCAACACUGCAGUUCAUUUUUCAUUCAUGUAAGUCACCAGCAGAUCCGCAAUCAUUUGACUCAUUGAACAGUGGGUAACGUGUUUUGAGAUAAGGGGACCAGUUACGUGAGUUUUAUUUUGGGAAGCGUUAAUCACUCACCUACAAUACCAUGAAUUUCAAGUUUUAUUGAUGGAAAGCAGCUUCCCAGAAGGAUGAGUUGGUUCAGCUCACUGAUGACAGAAAGUACACUUCUCAGCAUGUGGGAGGGAAGAGAGGAUUAAUUUUCUAUCAAGCGAAUGUUUCAGCCAACUCAUCCUGUGGGCUCAAGCUUGCAAGGGAAAGGAUUACAAGUGUGUACAUGGUAAACAGGACCUUUCAGCAGAUGACUUCAGCUGCAGUGAAAGACUGUCCUUGUCACUCUGCAGUUGGGAGCCCAAGAACAUGGAGGGUGAUGCUUAUAUGCCAAAUGAAGAUGAAGUGUUUCAAUUUUAUCAUGAGGUAUGCCAGGCAAAGUCAACUCAAAAUAAAGGAACAAAAUUAAAUUCUUCAUACAUAAAGUUAUUUGCCACAUAUCAGACAGCAAACAAUUUCACUUAUCUUUCUUUAUAUCAGCAAGAAAUGGACUAGCCUAAACCAAGGUUUUUUAUUGGAAUGUGAAAGACAGAUGGGAGAUGAGGAAGACAAAGUUGGACCUUAUCCAGUUUUUUAUUGCAAGUCAUGAGACUGGGAUGAAAUUUUGAAAUUCUGCCUGACAACAGGAAAAAAAAGGAUGGAGACAAGAGAAGA
Long non-coding RNA from Corvus hawaiiensis (hawaiian crow), 1140 nucleotides. RefSeq lists it as uncharacterized. The transcript has 6 exons. NCBI's taxonomy places the organism in Eukaryota, Metazoa, Chordata, Aves, Passeriformes, Corvidae. The record is from RefSeq and is a predicted model, not a curated record.